This is a long non-coding RNA of Acanthopagrus latus (yellowfin seabream), 856 nucleotides long. RefSeq lists it as uncharacterized. NCBI's taxonomy places the organism in Eukaryota, Metazoa, Chordata, Actinopteri, Spariformes, Sparidae. The transcript is spliced from 3 exons. The record is from RefSeq and is a predicted model, not a curated record.
UCUUGCAUCUCAGGGAGUGAUGUCGCGAAUGUGAUAAGUCACGUUUUUCAGCAUGAGGACAACUCGAUGUAACACCACGCAGUGUCAUUAUUUUGAGUUUCAGCCAAAUGUGAGAACAUUAAGUUUCCUUGUACACUCUGUGCUGGUGACAAAGUACUAUCAAGCUUCAAAAACAAAAUGUCAAAUUUGAAGAAACAUUUGGAGUCGCAGCACAGCACAGUUCAGUUUACAGAGCAAGUCCCACCAGGUGGUGUUAAGCAAAGAGCUACAAGCGAAGUCGCGGCCUCGACUUCUGCAGGAGGUCCCCCACCACCCAAACAACAAAAGCUGGACUUCAGUGCAAAACAAAAAGUUUUAUAAAGUUGCCCAGAAAACACACCCAAUGUUUUGGAUUCCACUGUCAUGACAGCAGGUCACUUGCCAUUCCUCUUUUGUCACCGGUCUGACGUUUCCCAUCACCCUCAUGUGUCUUAUAGUUUGCGUCUCGUCAUAGCUCCAAUAACUAGUCUAAGUAUUGUAUUCAUUGUUGUUUUUUUUUCUCUGUUUAUCCUUUGCCUUUUUUUGGGUUUGUUAACUUUUUUUCAGUGCAGCACAGACUCGUAGUAUAUGUUUAUAGCCUUUUGUUUCCUGUGAUUGUGAGUGAUUUUCAUUUGUUAAAGUUUUACAGCUUGUGCAUUCCUUGGUUGAGUGAAUUUCUGUUGUACCUUUUCUAGCCUAGUCUCACAGUGUAGUUUAUUACAGUCUUUUAUUGUCCUCUAAGAGAGUGAUUUUGUUUUCUCUGGUUUUGUGGAGUUCCCACCAUUGGUGUGAUUUAUUUUGUGUUUUGGUUUCCUUAUUUAGUUAGUAGAUUGUCAGG